RNAcentral lists this ribosomal RNA (503 nucleotides) under uncultured bacterium. Its description in RNAcentral is "partial 16S ribosomal RNA". It matches the Rfam family "Bacterial small subunit ribosomal RNA", at positions 30 to 523 of the family's 1533-position model. The record is from RNAcentral.
AUUGAACGCUGGCGGCAGGCUUAACACAUGCAAGUCGAGCGGGGUGAUGGUGCUUGCACUAUCACUUAGCGGCGGACGGGUGAGUAAUGCUUAGGAAUCUGCCUAGUAGUGGGGGACAACAUCUCGAAAGGGAUGCUACUACCGCAUACGUCCUACGGGAGAAAGCAGGGGAUCACUUGUGACCUUGCGCUAAUAGAUGAGCCUAAGUCGGAUUAGCUAGGUGGUGGGGUAAAGGCCUACCAAGGCGACGAUCUGUAGCGGGUCUGAGAGGAGGAUCCGCCACACUGGGACUGAGACACGGCCCAGACUCCUACGGGAGGCAGCAGUGGGGAAUAUUGGACAAUGGGGGGAACCCUGAUCCAGCCAUGCCGCGUGUGUGAAGAAGGCCUUAUGGUUGUAAAGCACUUUAAGCGAGGAGGAGGCUCUUUUGGUUAAUACCCAAGAUGAGUGGACGUUACUCGCAGAAUAAGGACCGGCUAACUACGUGCCAGCCGCCGCAGUAA